GUGAAACACGCACUCUCGCCGCCACACACAUCACAGAUGUACCGCCGAGGGUUAUUCUGAAAGAAAUGAUUGUUGAUUCAUCUUCGCUGCCUCCUUCAACAUCGCAGGCUGAUUCCACCAGCGAAGCAUCAAAACUUCGAAGCCGAAGGCUCUGCAUCCACAACAAACAGAGUCGAGUGCAGGAAACACAGAACCUGUCGUCUGCAGUCAGUGAAGCUCCGGUCCAGACUCCUGCACGAGGCCUCCUGCAGUAGCUUUGCUUACAGUGCCCCCUUCUGUCAUAUGAUACAACCAUAUAUACACAUUGACUCAUAUGCAUAUGUAUGUACACAGCACCAGUCAGUCAGGUUUUCACCUGACCUGACUAAAGUUGUGAGUGGCGCUUCGUUGCCCCCCCGCUCAUCUACCACAGUGGAAAAAUGUGGUGCUGCACAGGAAGCCAUGAGAUGCACUCGUGUGUAGGAGGUGCUGCUACGGUAGAAAAAGGGGGUAGCUCAGGAGUUUGGGUGCUUACUACAGCAGCAUCCACUGCUAUUUUUAACCCGACCGGUUCGUAACAUCUUGAGCGCCUCCACACAGAACAUUUAUAUUGAUAUAUAUUUAAGUGUAUUAUUUGAUUGCAGCUAUCGAACAACAGCAUAUUUGACUGCAGCUAUCGUACAACAUGUUAUAAUAGUUAAUACAACUUCAUCAAUGCAUUUUCUCCACUGUGUGCCUUUGAGACUUGAUUAAAAACGGGUUUGUCGAUGUAA
Long non-coding RNA from Gasterosteus aculeatus aculeatus (three-spined stickleback), 752 nucleotides. Lineage: Eukaryota; Metazoa; Chordata; Actinopteri; Perciformes; Gasterosteidae. The record is from Ensembl.